CCAUCUGAAACCUGUCCCGGGACAAAAAGAGAGAGAGCAGCUGAUGGCCAAAACUGGUGGAGAUCGUCAGACGACAGGAAACGCACAUCAUCGGAGGGUCUGGAUGAGGACAGACUCAGGGAGGAUGAAGGAGGAUGGAAGAGCCGACAAGGAUGAGCAGCUGCUUUCAGCGUCAAGAAAGACAAACCAAAGAAGAAGUCUCCGAUUACUAAACUGUUCGGUUGGGGGAGUAAGAAGGAGGGCUGACGCUCUGCAAACACACCGCAGCUCUCCCUCUGAUGUUUGUGUUCAUUCUGCUGCUCUUGUUGUAGUGUUAAUGUCAGCGUACUCAGCCUGUGAUUCAUAGGAUAACACUGACAGUGUAUGUAUGUAUGUGUGUGUGUGUGUGUGUGUGUGUGUGUGUGUGUGUGUCCUCGUUUUGAGUGUACGUGUGAUCUGUCAUUUUAAGCGCUUUUAGAAAAAUGCCCUUCCCUCUGUCGACUGCAUCACUCAAGAUCUGACAUCGCUCCUGCCUGCCAGUGACACACACACACACACACACACACACACACACACACACACACACACACACACACACUGUACAUGAUGUUGAGGGGUUAAUGACUCACCAGCCGUGUUGUGAUUGGGUUCAGCGCUCCAGUUGUUAAUUUUAAUACCCUUCUCGUCUUAAUCUGUCUACUUAAUGCUCUCUCACUCACAGACAUAUGCACACACACACACAUUUCCUCUCUAUCGUCUCACACACGCCACUUGCUGAGAUGAUGCUUGUACAGUACGCAGUGUAUACAGUAACACGGAUGCUAAUACGAGUUAAAGAACAAAGCACUCAGACAACUUUAGGGUCACUUUCUGACCUCUUAAGUCGAUUACAUGUUGAACUUUUAACAUUUAAUCUGAAAGGUCCCGCUCUCUGUCGUUUUUCUGUCAAACAGCAUUACAUUUUUAUAUCUCGGUCAACAACAAGUGUACUCAGAGCCAAGGACUAUUCUUUCUUUAUAUAAUAGCAUCUCGUAGACUUGUGGUUCGGGAGUAAAAGCAAUACGCAGUUAUUCCCCUUAUCUCUGAAUUAUUUUCAAUGAUUUUCAGAAUAAUUAAGUAUCAGAGAAGGAAUAAUCAUUCUUUAGCUGAACUUGUUACAGCCUUUAGAUAAAUGCAGCCUAUAUUGAGGAGAUAUAUAAAUAGUUUUUAUGUCUUAAAAGUAAAAAUAAAAACCCUUAUGCAGAAAUACACUCAUACAGUAUGAGCAUAGCAUUUCAAUCCUGGUCUUUUGGGAACAGCAGAUCAUGAAAGUUCAUUACUAAUCCUUUUCAAAUGUCCACAACAUAUUAUGGUUUCUAUUCAGCGUCAAUUAUCCUUCAAGAAUGUACGAAACAAUCACAAUAAUUACGAGUUAUUCUCUUCACUGUAUACAUAUUGAUAUGUUUUAGUUACACAUUUAUGAGUGAAUUAACAUUUGAUACUCAAACAUGGUUCUAACAAAGUCACCGGACGUCAGGCUUUGUUUUUUUCUUUUCCUAUCCACUCUUGUUCAGCAGUACUUUAAUAUGUAGUUUGUGUUUUUACGGUCGGUCUCGAGAAAAAGGAUGAAUAUGGUUUGUGUCAUGUGACUCAAAGGUUUUCAAACUAAAAGCAUGUUUUGACUGGAUCUGUUGGUCCAUAUUGGAUCUGGAUUUGUGUUUAUGCUCGAGGCACUGAAUCAAACUUCAAAUGUCUGUGCUGUGACCAAAGUAGUUGGUACUAAACAACAUUAGGAUUGUAUAUAUGUUAAUCUUCCCGUCCCUUUUACUCCCCUUUAUCUCUGUAUAUAGUGUAUAAACGCGUAUAUGUAUAAUGGUACUAACGCCAGAUUGAUUAUUAAAUGGAGAAACCUG
Notothenia coriiceps (black rockcod) is the source of this 1871-nucleotide long non-coding RNA. RefSeq lists it as uncharacterized. The record is from RefSeq and is a predicted model, not a curated record. The transcript is spliced from 3 exons. NCBI's taxonomy places the organism in Eukaryota, Metazoa, Chordata, Actinopteri, Perciformes, Nototheniidae.